UUGUUUAUUAUGUUUUAUACUCAGACUGCACAUACAUUCAGAGUUUUGAUAGCUCCGGUAGGGCUUCGCUUUUACGCUAGGCUCACCAAAGCAUCAGUGUAGCAUAGGUUUGAUAAUUGGGCUUUUGAAGACCCUAUUUAUCUUUAAUGAUCCUUCCGCAGGUUCACCUACGGAAA
This 176-nucleotide unclassified non-coding RNA is filed under the name uncultured fungus. Its description in RNAcentral is "sequence contains ITS1". Lineage: Eukaryota; Fungi. The record is from RNAcentral.